Mirounga angustirostris (Northern elephant seal) is the source of this 829-nucleotide long non-coding RNA. RefSeq lists it as uncharacterized. The transcript is spliced from 3 exons. The record is from RefSeq and is a predicted model, not a curated record. NCBI's taxonomy places the organism in Eukaryota, Metazoa, Chordata, Mammalia, Carnivora, Phocidae.
GUCUGCUGCAAUAUCUUCGCAACGGGCAGCAACUCACAUGUUCGAUUACAACAGGCUGAGCUGCUCCACACUCCCCAGUGCCAGGGCUCAGGGAAUGAGGGAGGGGAAAAAACACCUAGACGCUGAGCAAGACCACACACUUCCUGACACAGGCAGCCCCGAGGUCCUGGCUCCGUCCAGGUUGAAAGAGCCGCAACACUUCUCGCCAAGGAGCCCAGCAUCUUAACUAAUGCCCCUGCCUGCCCAUCGCUGACGGAUGCUCUUCUUUGCUUCUUUUUUCUCCACUUCAGAAUCCAAGGCAGGGUUUGAGUGACUGACACCUUCUCCCCUCUUGGCCCUGGGAGCCGAUUAGUUCAGGACUGUGGCAAACCGGUAUUUCAGGUCCCCUUGGCAACCCCAGUGCCCAGUCUCCCGAGGAGGAUUGCGAGGAUUGCGUUUCUAAAGGACCCUGAGGAGACCAGACUUCUGGGUGUUUUGGAAAUAGGGAAUAAGAAAAUCGGCAAUGAAAUCCCUCAGAGUUUCUGGAGAAAAGAACCCAGCAACAGGUCAGCACACUGGAGGAAAGAAGACAUUCAUCGUGUGAUUUCUGAAGAAAAGAUCUUAAGAAAUUCCGAUUUUUCUCCAGGAAGACUUUUGUGCCGUUAACAAUUUUGAAAUCUGCUUUUUAAAAAUGUUACAUGAUAGCAUUGGCAUUUUUCCAUGGCCUGAGAAACUCUGCAAAGAACAACUUUAGAGUGGCUAUAUAAUCUUCUGACUAGGCUGUCCCCCAACUUGCUUAUCCUACUUGACGAUUUAAGUUGUUUCGAUUUUUUCCCCAUUAUUACAAAUA